RNAcentral lists this ribosomal RNA (426 nucleotides) under uncultured bacterium. RNAcentral describes it as "bacterial SSU rRNA". It matches the Rfam family "Bacterial small subunit ribosomal RNA", at positions 355 to 775 of the family's 1533-position model. The record is from RNAcentral.
UCGAGAAUUUCUCUCAAUGGGCGCAAGCCUGAAGGAGCGACGCCGCGUGGGGGAUGAAGGGCUUCGGUCCGUAAACCCCUGUCAUUUGUGAACAAAGCUAACGGGUAAAUAGCCCGUGAGUUGAUAGUAGCAAAAGAGGAAGGGACGGCUAACUCUGUGCCAGCAGCCGCGGUAAUACAGAGGUCCCAAGCGUUGUUCGGAUUCACUGGGCGUAAAGGGUGCGUAGGUGGCCUAGGAAGUUUGAUGUGAAAGCUCGGAGCUUAACUCCGAAAAGCAUUGAAUACUCUUGGGCUGGAGGGUCGGAGGGGAGACUGGAAUUCUCGGUGUAGCAGUGAAAUGCGUAGAUAUCGAGAGGAACACCAGUGGCGAAGGCGAGUCUCUGGACGAUUCCUGACACUGAGGCACGAAAGCUAGGGGAGCAAACAG